RNAcentral lists this ribosomal RNA (50 nucleotides) under [Clostridium] scindens. Its description in RNAcentral is "partial 23S ribosomal RNA". Lineage: Bacteria; Bacillati; Bacillota; Clostridia; Lachnospirales; Lachnospiraceae. The record is from RNAcentral.
UGCAGCAAUGCAUGGAGCUGACUAUUACUAAUCGGUCGAGGGCAUGACCA